AACGCUAGCUACAGGCUUAACACAUGCAAGUCGAGGGGCAGCAUUUUAGUUUGCUUGCAAACUAAAGAUGGCGACCGGCGCACGGGUGAGUAACACGUAUCCAACCUGCCGAUAACUCGGGGAUAGCCUUUCGAAAGAAAGAUUAAUAUCCGAUAGUAUAUUAAAACCGCAUGGUUUUACUAUUAAAGAAUUUCGGUUAUCGAUGGGGAUGCGUUCCAUUAGUUUGUUGGCGGGGUAACGGCCCACCAAGACUACGAUGGAUAGGGGUUCUGAGAGGAAGGUCCCCCACAUUGGAACUGAGACACGGUCCAAACUCCUACGGGAGGCAGCAGUGAGGAAUAUUGGUCAAUGGACGAGAGUCUGAACCAGCCAAGUAGCGUGAAGGAUGACUGCCCUAUGGGUUGUAAACUUCUUUUAUAUGGGAAUAAAGUAUUCCACGUGUGGAAUUUUGUAUGUACCAUAUGAAUAAGGAUCGGCUAACUCCGUGCCAGCAGCCGCGGUAAUACGGAGGAUCCGAGCGUUAUCCGGAUUUAUUGGGUUUAAAGGGAGCGUAGGUGGAUUGUUAAGUCAGUUGUGAAAGUUUGCGGCUCAACCGUAAAAUUGCAGUUGAAACUGGCAGUCUUGAGUACAGUAGAGGUGGGCGGAAUUCGUGGUGUAGCGGUGAAAUGCUUAGAUAUCACGAAGAACUCCGAUUGCGAAGGCAGCUCACUAGACUGCAACUGACACUGAUGCUCGAAAGUGUGGGUAUCAAACAGGAUUAGAUACCCUGGUAGUCCACACAGUAAACGAUGAAUACUCGCUGUUUGCGAUAUACAGUAAGCGGCCAAGCGAAAGCAUUAAGUAUUCCACCUGGGGAGUACGCCGGCAACGGUGAAACUCAAAGGAAUUGACGGGGGCCCGCACAAGCGGAGGAACAUGUGGUUUAAUUCGAUGAUACGCGAGGAACCUUACCCGGGCUUAAAUUGCAUUUGAAUAAUCUGGAAACAGGUUAGCCGCAAGGCAAAUGUGAAGGUGCUGCAUGGUUGUCGUCAGCUCGUGCCGUGAGGUGUCGGCUUAAGUGCCAUAACGAGCGCAACCCUUAUCUUUAGUUACUAACAGGUCAUGCUGAGGACUCUAGAGAGACUGCCGUCGUAAGAUGUGAGGAAGGUGGGGAUGACGUCAAAUCAGCACGGCCCUUACGUCCGGGGCUACACACGUGUUACAAUGGGGGGUACAGAAGGCAGCUACCUGGUGACAGGAUGCUAAUCCCAAAAACCUCUCUCAGUUCGGAUCGAAGUCUGCAACCCGACUUCGUGAAGCUGGAUUCGCUAGUAAUCGCGCAUCAGCCAUGGCGCGGUGAAUACGUUCCCGGGCCUUGUACACACCGCCCGUCAAGCCAUGAAAGCCGGGGGUACAAGAAGUACGUAACCGCAAGGAGCGUCCUAGGGUAAAAC
RNAcentral lists this ribosomal RNA (1433 nucleotides) under uncultured organism. Its description in RNAcentral is "16S ribosomal RNA". It matches the Rfam family "Bacterial small subunit ribosomal RNA". The record is from RNAcentral.